This 497-nucleotide ribosomal RNA is filed under the name uncultured bacterium. Its description in RNAcentral is "partial 16S ribosomal RNA". It matches the Rfam family "Bacterial small subunit ribosomal RNA", at positions 28 to 507 of the family's 1533-position model. The record is from RNAcentral.
GAUGAACGCUGGCGGCGUGCCUAAUACAUGCAAGUCGAGCGAACGGACGAGAAGCUUGCUUCUCUGAUGUUAGCGGCGGACGGGUGAGUAACACGUGGAUAACCUACCUAUAAGACUGGGAUAACUUCGGGAAACCGUAGCUAAUACCGGAUAAUAUUUUGAACCGCAUGGUUCAAAAGUGAAAGACGGUCUUGAUGUCACUUAUAGAUGGAUCCGCGCUGCAUUAGCUAGUUGGUAAGGUAACGGCUUACCAAGGCAACGAUGCAUAGCCGACCUGAGAGGGUGAUCGGCCACACUGGAACUGAGACACGGUCCAGACUCCUACGGGAGGCAGCAGUAGGGAAUCUUCCGCAAAGGGCGAAAGCCUGACGGAGCAACGCCGCGUGAGUGAUGAAGGUCUUCGGAUCGUAAAACUCUGUUAUUAGGGAAGAACAUAUGUGUAAGUAACUGUGCACAUCUUGACGGUACCUAAUCAGAAAGCCACGGCUAACUACGUG